GUGGGGAAUAUUGGACAAUGGGCGAAAGCCUGAUCCAGCCAUGCCGCGUGUGUGAAGAAGGUCUUCGGAUUGUAAAGCACUUUAAGUUGGGAGGAAGGGCAGUAAGUUAAUACCUUGCUGUUUUGACGUUACCAACAGAAUAAGCACCGGCUAACUUCGUGCCAGCAGCCGCGGUAAUACGAAGGGUGCAAGCGUUAAUCGGAAUUACUGGGCGUAAAGCGCGCGUAGGUGGUUCAGCAAGUUGGAGGUGAAAUCCCCGGGCUCAACCUGGGAACUGCCUCCAAAACUACUGAGCUAGAGUACGGUAGAGGGUAGUGGAAUUUCCUGUGUAGCGGUGAAAUGCGUAGAUAUAGGAAGGAACACCAGUGGCGAAGGCGACUACCUGGACUGAUACUGACACUGAGGUGCGAAAGCGUGGGGAGCAAACAGGAUUAGAAAACCGUGUAGUCC
Molecule: ribosomal RNA, 450 nt
Filed under: uncultured bacterium
Lineage: Bacteria
Description: partial 16S ribosomal RNA
Rfam family: Bacterial small subunit ribosomal RNA
Source: RNAcentral